UACGUAGGGUGCAAGCGUUGUCCGGAAUUAUUGGGCGUAUAGAGCUCGUAGGCGGUCUGUCGCGUCGGCUGUGAAAUCCCGAGGCUCAACCUCGGGUCUGCAGUCGAUACGGGCAAACUAGAGUAUUGCAGGGGAGACUGGAAUUCCUGGUGUAGCGGUGAAAUGCGCAGAUAUCAGGAGGAACACCGGUGGCGAAGGCGGGUCUCUGGGCAAUAACUGACGCUGAGGAGCGAAAGCGUGGGGAGCGAACAGG
RNAcentral lists this ribosomal RNA (253 nucleotides) under uncultured bacterium. RNAcentral describes it as "partial 16S ribosomal RNA". It matches the Rfam family "Bacterial small subunit ribosomal RNA", at positions 524 to 776 of the family's 1533-position model. The record is from RNAcentral.